RNAcentral lists this long non-coding RNA (1792 nucleotides) under Manihot esculenta (cassava). RNAcentral describes it as "long non-coding RNA (MESC_LNC001310)". The record is from RNAcentral. Lineage: Eukaryota; Viridiplantae; Streptophyta; Magnoliopsida; Malpighiales; Euphorbiaceae.
GUAAACAUUGGUUGACAGGUCACUUAUAAUACCCCCUCAAGAUGGAGCAUGAAGGUUCCGAAUGCCCAACUUGCCAAGAAGAAAAUGAAAUUGAUCGUUGCCCAAGGCCUUAGUGAAGAUAUCAGCUGACUGGAUGGAACUACGAACAUUGACCAUGCGAAUGUUGCCACUGAGUAUUUCAUUGCGAAUAAAGUGGCAGUCCACUUCGAUAUGUUUGGUGUGUUCGUGAUAGACAAGAUUGGCUGUAAUGUGCAGAGCAGCUUGACUAUCACAAUAUAAUUGCAUAAGCAUAGUUUAAGACACUCUAAGAGAGAUUAGGAGGCCUUUAAACCAUUUAAGAUCACAGGCACAGUGAUCAUAGACCUAUAUUCAACCUCACAGAGGAGUGAGACACAAUUAGCUACUUCUUAGUCUUCCAAGAAAUGGGAGAGCCACCCAAAAGAACAAGAUAGCCAAUAAGAGACCUGCGGGUCAAAGAGUAAAUAGCCCAGUCAGAGUCACAGUAAGCGGUCAAGGCAAGGUUAAAAUUGGCAAGCAUCAAGAUGCCCUGGCUGGGCUAGCCUUUGAGAUAACGGACUACUCGGAGAGUAGCCUCCCAAUGAAUUUGCAGUGGUCGUUGCAUGAACUGCGCAAGAAUAUGCACAUAGUAGGACAAUUUGGGCUGAGUAAUAGUGAGAUAAAUAAGAUGACUCACCAAGCACCGAUAGGAAGUAGGAGUAGCAAAGGCAGCUUCCUUCGCAAAAGCCAGCUUAUGACUUUGUUCUAGAGGAGUGGCAGUCGGUUUGAAACCCAACAAACCAACAUCAAAAAUUACAUAUAAGGCAUACUUAUGUUGACACAGAAAAAGGCCUUCAGCGGUGCGGGUUACCUCGAGUCCUAAGAAGAAUUUCAGGGUUUCCAAGACUUUCAUGUGGAAACAGCGGCUCAAGUACUCCUUGAAUUUUUGAACAGCAAAAAGAUUAUUGCAUGCGAUAAUGAGAUUAUCAACAUUAAUAAGAACAUUCAAAGGAAGCGAUCCAACAUGAAGAAUGAACAAGGAAUAAUCUGAAUAGAAUUGUUGAAAUUCAUAGGCUCGUAAAAAAGCAGCCAGCUUGACAAACCAACAACGAGGAACUUGACGCAAAUAGUAGAGAGACUUGCAGAGGUGACAGACUUUGCCAGAGGAGGAAGAGCAAAGCCGGGUGGCAUUUUCAUGUAGACUUCUUCUUGCAAGUCACCGUGUAAAAAAUCAUUAUGGACGUCCAUUUGAUAUAAUUCCUAAUUCUUGGUAGCUGCGACUACAAGAAGAGUACGGACCGUACCCAUUUUCAUUGUGGGUGCAAAGGUGUCCUGAUAAUCAAGCCCUUUAACUUAUUUAUUGUCCAAGAUAACCAGUCGUGCCUUGUAUCGUUCAAUACUCCCAUCAGAAUUAUACUUGAUUUUGUAUACCCAUUUGCUGGCAAUUGUGCGCUUCCCAGAAGGUAAAGCUUGACUGUCCAUGUAUCAUUGUCCUCCAAAGCUUGAAUUUUUGUGUGCAUGGCCUCUCUCCAUCGGGCAUCUUGAAAAGCUUUAAUAUAAGAGGUGGGUUCAUGUCCUGCAGUAAUCACUCUCAAGAAACACCUAUGUUGUGUAGAGAAUUUAUCAUAACUCACAUAAUAUGCUAUAGGGUAAGGAGUACCUGAAGAAGAAGCUAAUGGAGAGGAUGAGUACGGCGAAGGGCUUACAUUGAUCGCGUGAGUCACAUAGUCUUUUAAAUGAAUCGAAACCUACUUAGUUCAUUGUCCCCUUCCUAACAGCUCAGAAGCUAUAUCAC